RNAcentral lists this long non-coding RNA (663 nucleotides) under Phoenix dactylifera (date palm). Its description in RNAcentral is "long non-coding RNA (PDAC_LNC008463)". Lineage: Eukaryota; Viridiplantae; Streptophyta; Magnoliopsida; Arecales; Arecaceae. The record is from RNAcentral.
GGGGUCUAGGUCAUGGUUUUUAUUCUGUAACAGGCCCCAUACUGGUAGCUUAUUUGUGUGUCUGGGCUCAGUUAGGUAAAACCCCUCACUGGCACAUUGUAUGCUGUGGUGGGCAAGACGAGUUGUACCAUGUCUCAGUAUGGUAAUGUACUUAUACCCUAACUGUUGGUAUAGGAUAUGCACUGCAUUGGCUGUUAUGGGCAUCAGGGUAAACCGCAGUCUAGGCAACAUAAGGCUUGUCUAUUACCAGGCAAUCACCCAUCAAAGUAAUGGCUAUAAUUAGUAUCAAAGCUGAAAUAGUAGUAUUUUUCUGGAGCAUAGGCAAUUGCUUGUAACAAUAAUGACUAUAAUGCAAUUAAGUUUUGAAUUGGAAAGUGGUGAUGGUAUGAAAAGAUAUUAAUAUGCAAAUUAAAUGAUUGCAGUCUUCGUCGCAAAUUGUUUGCGGUGAAGGACAACGCCAUGGCUAUCCAAUAAUAUGCUGAUCAACAAUAAGGAAUAUACAGAAGUCAUAAGUAGCCUGCAACUGAGCUGGGUUACCUCCCAACCAUUCUUCUUUCAGAUCGUGAUUUUAAGACUCAAACCCAAUCCAUUGACAAACUGGAUAGGGUCCAUGAAAGUUUUUUCUGGACCCACUGGGUCAUUCAGUAUGGGUUGGGUUUAAGU